GAUGAACGCUAGCGAUAGGCUUAACACAUGCAAGUCGAGGGGCAGCACAAGGUAGCUUGCUAUCUGGGUGGCGACCGGCGCACGGGUGCGUAACGCGUAUGCAACUUGCCCUAUACAGGAGGAUAACCCGUCGAAAGACGGACUAAUACUGCGUAUGCUCACAACUUGGCAUCAAGUGGUGAGGAAAGAAAUUCGGUAUAGGAUAGGCAUGCGUCGCAUUAGCUUGUUGGUGAGGUAACGGCUCACCAAGGCAACGAUGCGUAGGGGAACUGAGAGGUUGAGUGGAUACACCAGAACUGAGAUACGGCACCGACCACCAGGCGACGAAGGGGUGCAGUGAGGAAUAUUAGUCAAUGAGCGCGAGCCUGAACCAGCCAAGUCGCGUGAAGGAUGACUGUCUUAUGGAUUGUAAACUACUUUGGUACGGGAAUAACGAGAGUCACGUGUGACGUCCUGCAUGUACCGUAUGAAUAAGCAUCGGCUAACUCCGUG
Molecule: ribosomal RNA, 492 nt
Filed under: uncultured bacterium
Lineage: Bacteria
Description: partial 16S ribosomal RNA
Rfam family: Bacterial small subunit ribosomal RNA
Source: RNAcentral